GCAUAUCAAUAAGCGGAGGAAAAGAAACCAACCGGGAUUGCCUUAGUAACGGCGAGUGAAGCGGCAAAAGCUCAAAUUUGAAAUCUGGUACCUUCGGUGCCCGAGUUGUAAUUUGGAGAGGGCAACUUUGGGGCCGUUCCUUGUCUAUGUUCCUUGGAACAGGACGUCAUAGAGGGUGAGAAUCCCGUGUGGCGAGGAGUGCGGUUCUUUGUAAAGUGCCUUCGAAGAGUCGAGUUGUUUGGGAAUGCAGCUCCAAGUGGGUGGUAAAUUCCAUCUAAAGCUAAAUAUUGGCGAGAGACCGAUAGCGAACAAGUACAGUGAUGGAAAGAUGAAAAGAACUUUGAAAAGAGAGUGAAAAAGUACGUGAAAUUGUUGAAAGGGAAGGGCAUUUGAUCAGACAUGGUGUUUUGUGCCCUCUGCUCCUUGUGGGUAGGGGAAUCUCGCAUUUCACUGGGCCAGCAUCAGUUUUGGUGGCAGGAUAAAUCCAUAGGAAUGUAGCUUGCCUCGGUAAGUAUUAUAGCCUGUGGGAAUACUGCCAGCUGGGACUGAGGACUGCGACGUAAGUCAAGGAUGCUGGCAUAAUGGUUAUAUGCCGCCCGUCUUGAAACACGGACC
This 615-nucleotide ribosomal RNA is filed under the name uncultured yeast. RNAcentral describes it as "eukaryotic LSU rRNA". It matches the Rfam family "Eukaryotic large subunit ribosomal RNA", at positions 38 to 667 of the family's 3401-position model. Lineage: Eukaryota; Fungi. The record is from RNAcentral.